This is a long non-coding RNA of Setaria italica (foxtail millet), 2008 nucleotides long. RefSeq lists it as uncharacterized. The record is from RefSeq and is a predicted model, not a curated record. Lineage: Eukaryota; Viridiplantae; Streptophyta; Magnoliopsida; Poales; Poaceae. The transcript is spliced from 3 exons.
CUUGAGCAGGUAAUACGUGAAGCGCUACCUUACCUGAAAUUCAAGGGCACAGAUCAAAAGAUGCGGCAUGAGGAAUGCACCUGAUGUGCAGAAAUACUAAAUUGGGUUUGCGUAGUCAAAUCAUUUAAGACCAUCAUCCAAUCUGUCUUCUUUUUCUUUCUUUCUUUCUUUUUUUGAAUUGGUGAUCAUCCAAUCUUUUAAUCUGGCAGCUUUAAUAAAUGACCAUCCUUGUGCAUAUGGUGGGCUGUUAUCUAGCAUCUACCAUGGAAAUCUACUUUACAGCCAUACUAGCAAUUUAUAGCCCUAAAUAUCCCCAGUUGACAAUGUUAUAGCCCUAAAUAUCCCCAGUUGACAGUUGCUGCAUUGUGCUGGCUCUUCUACAUUAAGCUAUUCUAUUCUGUUACAGUCUAUAUAUAAUAUCCCCUGCGGUGAAGUAUGUUCAAGUAGAGCCGUGGAGUUCUUGCCGUGUGUGGCAUUUCUGCUUAAAUUGCACAAUCAGAUGGCUGGGGUGACUCAUUCUUUGGGUAAUGGUGAAAAUAUCAAGCAAACAAUAUGAUUGAUAGGAGUAUUGUUUAAAGGUGAAUGUGAUAUGUUUUCGUUCUUGGACGUUAGAAUUGAUGCGUGGUAACCAACUUCUUAAACUUAGAAAAUGUUGGAUAUAGUUGUUAUGGGGAAUCGAAAAGAAAAAAAAGAUAUGGCAGUAUUUGUGUUGGUAUAAAAUAUCAUUAGUUUGGAAAACACAAUAGAUUUUUUACCGUAACAACGCGCGGGCAUUUUGCUAGUACUUAUUAAAGCAACUAAGCUAAUUUUUUUCAUCCGUCAUGGUCAUUUUGCAAAAAAGUCCCUCAAAUUUUUAGUAAUCAACCCAUAGUCCAUAUUCUAAAGAGGGGAGGCUCGAGUGGAAAAAGGAGAGAAAGGAAGGGGUUAAAGGGGAAAAAGCUUCUCCUUUCCUCCGUCUCUCUCCCUCCCGUCCGCCGCCUGCGCUCCCUCAUCCGCGCCCCCGAACCCUGCCCCGAGCCUCAACGGAGAGGCCAGCCGAUCCCCUCUCCUCCCCGUGCCGCACCUUCCUCCUACCCUGGGCGUGUCGCCUCUGCUACCGCCGCCGCCCCCCAUGCCCCUACCCAGGCGGAGAAGGGAGAAUGUGAAGGGAGGUCAUCUCCCUUCCUCACCUCGACGAAUGAGGCGCUGGAGGCGGGGUGCUGGCGGGAGGCGAGGCAGGGGCGGCGUCGAGCAGCAGCGGGCAGCGAUUGGAGGGAGGGAGUCCCCUGGCAGUGCGGCCGGUGCCCGGAGCCGGCGGGGGCGAGCUCCCCAGGCCGGCAGGGGUGAUGUCCCGAGCGGUGCAGUUGGGACCUGCGGCCAGCGGGAGCGUGGUCCCCGGAUGGUGUACCCCGCCACUGGAGGUGGCGGCCUGCUUGGCGGCCAUAGCGCUUGGAGCACGGGGCGGGUGGGGCCAGCGGCAAUGCGGCCGCGCAGCGCCUCAACCACAUACGCACUCUCGCCGCCCACGGCCGUAGCAGCCUCUGCAGCUCUCCCUUCUGUCCGUGCAUGUGGCCGCUGCUCCCUCCGACGAGCUGUCUCUACUGCACACAAGUUGUUUGUAGAAAUGCCUAAUAACAAGAACGGAAGCAAGAGCCUGUAAUAUUGUAUUGGCGGCUACAACGCCUGGAGCACGGGGCGGGCGGGGCCAGCGGCAACGCGGCCGCGCAGCGUCUCAACCACAGACGCGUUCUGGCCGCCGACGGCCGUAGCAGCCUCCGCAGCUCUCCCUUCUGUCCGUGCAUAUGGCCGUUGCUCCCUCUGACAAGCUUGUCUCUACUGCACACAAGUUGUCUGUAGAAAUGCCUAAUAACAAGAACGGAAGCAAGAGCCUGUAAUAUUGUACAUGAUUAUGCCCCCGCGCAGUGUUGAUUCUCUGAAUGUCAAUUGUCACAAGAUAUUAAGAGCAUGGAAAUCGUACAACCAAGGAAGCUCGGCUGCUCAUGGUUAAUCCUUAGUCCCUUAUAUACUA